The submitters of this non-coding RNA (141 nucleotides) gave its source as unclassified sequences. The record is from Rfam.
GGUAUUUGAGGUCGGAAAUGGCUCCCGACACUCCCUUGUAUGAGGACGGAAGAAGCAGCCGUCGCCCUAGUUGGAGAUGCGUGAGUGCUGACACGCCGCAAGGGAACCUGAGAUGCAGGAUACGCCGCCCUGCCAAAUAUC